AAGUCGUAACAAGGUAACCGUAGGUGAACCUGCGGUUGGAUCAUUAACACGUAUCCACGUAUCCACCCAAUGUGAAUGUAUGUUCCUUCCACGUGUGUGUCACUGGAGCAGCAGCAAUGCUGCAGCAGUUGACAGACACAUCCAUCUAUCUACCCUUUUCACCCUCCUUUUUGCUAGUUGACUUUUUUAUGUUGCAGUCGCUCGUCGCCUGCACACGUUUCUUAUUUGAACGUAAAAUAUACAACUCUUAGCAAUGGAUAUCUUGGUUCUC
Molecule: unclassified non-coding RNA, 271 nt
Filed under: fungal sp.
Lineage: Eukaryota; Fungi
Description: partial internal transcribed spacer region
Rfam family: Eukaryotic small subunit ribosomal RNA (bases 1-46)
Source: RNAcentral